CAGUCGCCGCGGUAACACGUAGGGUGCGAGCGUUAAUCGGAAUUACUGGGCGUAAAGCGUGCGCAGGCGGUUGUGUAAGACAGGUGUGAAAUCCCCGGGCUUAACCUGGGAACUGCGCUUGUGACUGCACAGCUAGAGUAUGGCAGAGGGGGGUGGAAUUCCACGUGUAGCAGUGAAAUGCGUAGAGAUGUGGAGGAACACCGAUGGCGAAGGCAGCCCCCUGGGCCAAUACUGACGCUCAUGCACGAAAGCGUGGGGAGCAAACAGGAUUAGAUACCCGAGUAGUCCCUGUCUCUUAUAC
RNAcentral lists this ribosomal RNA (301 nucleotides) under uncultured bacterium. RNAcentral describes it as "partial 16S ribosomal RNA". It matches the Rfam family "Bacterial small subunit ribosomal RNA", at positions 509 to 807 of the family's 1533-position model. The record is from RNAcentral.